UCAUCAAUCAUCAUCUUAUAACUACAGGACUCCACUGUUCACCGGACCCCUCCAGAUGUCGUUGCCUUGGACACCAGCUUCAUGAGAUAGGCUUCAACAUGAUUCCUGAAAGAUCCACCCGGGACAGGAGAUCCAGAGAGAAAGAAUGAAGACAGGGCCCUGCAGCUGAUCC
Molecule: long non-coding RNA, 172 nt
Filed under: Ictidomys tridecemlineatus (thirteen-lined ground squirrel)
Lineage: Eukaryota; Metazoa; Chordata; Mammalia; Rodentia; Sciuridae
Description: lncRNA (ENSSTOG00000030804.1)
Source: RNAcentral